AGAGGCAGUAGGGAGGGUGCACAGGUCAGCCGGAGGUGAGCACCGGGCGGUGGGAGGGUGGGGGGCAGCUGAGCCCUGACCCUCCGCGGGAGGGACAUCUCGGGUCAGCAGGUGCGCCGCCUCCCCUGUGGCCGCACUGCUCAGCCUUGGCUGACCUUUGCUCCCCUCCUGACCUCUGACCCCUGACCCCAGCCCUGUCUGGCUGGACUCCAGGCUCCUCAGAGCCGUGCUCUUCCGGGCGUGGGGGCCUCUGGGAACGCCCACCCCGUGGACCCACAGCGCUGCCCGCUGCCGGCUCCCUGUGGUCCGGCCACCUGACCCUGCUCGGGGUGGCGGAGGGAGGACCCGCCCCGUGAGGCCGCCGGAUACACUUGCGGUUUCCAGCACGUUGUUCCUGACCUCACUUCUAAGGGUUUUCAGAGAACCUCAUUUGGACAGAAAGGAGCGAAUUCCUGUCCACGAGCGCCAUCUUUGCACCUGCCCAUGUGGGGCCGGGGACUUGGACGGGACCCUCGGAUGUGGACCUGGGACCCCCUUGGCUGUGGACCUGGGACCCCCUCAAUGUGGACCUGGGAGCCCUCGGUUCUGGACCCAGGAACCCCUCGGCUCUGGACCCGGGACCCCCGGACGUGGACGGCGGCGCCUCGGCCUCGGCUCAGGUAGGACUCCUCAGGUGGGGGAGGCAGUGGCUUUUGACCCUGAGGGGCUGAGGUGACCCCUCGCGGGGCCCCCUCCCCACCCGGGGUCGGUCAGCGAGGGGGGGGCCCUCGAUUAUGCAGCUGCGAACCCUUAUGUCAUCAUGUAGUACAUCCCCUCUAAGUGCUAUGGAUCGUGGGGGAGGCACUUUUCUGUGCCAACUUGACCCUGUUGACCGGGUCCAGGGCGGCAGGUUCUCUGCGGGGACCAGGCUCGGGGACGGUGGGGCACGGUUGCGGAGGGGUCCUGGGGCUCUGUUGGCAGUACUGUGAGGAGCUGUGGCGCGCAGGCGCUAUGUGAGGUGUAGGUGAUGUCAGGACGAGGGACGAGUGAGCCGGUUUGCUGACCACGUGGAGGGGGAGCCCGGCCGCCCAGUGCACCUGCUGAGGGCCCCCUCUGGGUGGUGUGCGGAGAGGCCGCUCCCAGACCCCUGGGGACCUCAUUUAACUGUGUUCUGCUUGUGAGGCCAGGCGAACCGGAUGCCGUGGGCCCAGCGGGGGGUGGGCUGCUCUGGGCCAAGUCUGUGACCCUGUUCCUGCGAACUCACCUUCCUUCUCACUCUCCACACCACUGGUUUCCUUUGGCAGCAUUUAACUUCCGAGCCAUGGAUUUAAAAACACAUUAAUUUGGAAUAAAGCACAAACAUUAAAAAAUGUAACUCGUGCUGUGACCAACUUUCACUUUAUUGUUUAUAAACAGUGUAUUUUUCUCGGUUUGGAGGGAAAACAAAUAUAAUUAUUUCCAAUAACAUUCAACAAAUGAUUUAAGGGAUAACGUUUUCUCUGAUGUCUUAAACCUAAAGGUAUAAUCUGUCCUGCCAAAUUACACCCCCCCCCCCAAAAAAAAAACNCCCCCCCCCCCAAAAAAAACACACUAAAUUCCAAGGGAAGUAAAUUGAAGAAUGGACACUUUGUAAUAGGAAGAGAUUACCAGGUAUUGUACAGCCUUAAGAAUUUCUGCCUAGCUGAUUUCAUUAAUGAAAUGGCAAACUUCCCACACAACACCGUUAGCGAUUUUGGCUGGGGGACCCCCAGGAAAGGUAAGUUGUCUUGAUAAUGUUAAGUUCUUAAGCAACAGAAGCGGGAAGCAAUCUUCUCUCCUGCUGGAGCACAUUCUCUAACCUCUGCCUUAUCAAUUUGCAGAAAGAAAAUUAUCUCAAAGCCGUGUUUGAUUGAAUUCUAAUUAAUCAGCUUUCCUUCUGGCUCCCAGGAUUAGAUAACUAGAGGAGUGAAACUUCAUAAUCAGGAAUUGAGAAUGAAGGUUACAGAGGCACAAAUUGAUGGUUGAAGUAUAAUGCACACGCUAUAAAAUGUAGAAGCAUACAUAUGCUUUAAUUCUAUUAAAGUAAAUAUUCAAAUCAUAAUUCUUAUUAUCUUCCUAGAGAACAUUAAGUUUAUUAAGUUGUCAUAGAAUUUUCUUCAGGUGGGUUAGGAUUUUAUUUAGAAGUGAAAAUAGGAAUUUCUUUCUUAAACUUACAAGUUAAAGGAGUUAAUGACUUGAAGUAUUUCAUAUAAUCAUAUAACACACAGUAAGUAGAGCCAAAAGAAGACUCAUAUUUAGUCUAUAGCAAUGCAACUUUGGGCAAUCAAAUUGGCUCUUUGAAAUAAUCCAGCAGAAGGCAUGCUUUUCUUCCGUUUCUGAUGGCAUCAUAGUUUCUCAUCAGAGGUGGUCACAACUUCACUUGACUGUUUUUUAAAACCUUUUUUUUUUAAUUUUUAAAACUACUUAUACUUGCUUUUAUAUAUUUUCAGCGUAAAAACCACCAAAUUUGAGCAUGGUUUAUUAAACUGACAUUUUUUUCCCACCUAUGAUAACCUUAUUUUGGUUCAUAGUGUGUACAUAUUCGUCAUUUACUUUUGUUUCUAACAUUGUGUUUUCUGAUAUUUGCUUUAGAGAAUUGAGUUUAAUAACAUCUCGUGGUAAAGUCUUCAGCCUAAAUUUUUUUCAUCCAGUUUGGAUGAGAUAUAAUUGGUGUCCAGUGCUGUGUUAUGUUGAAAGUGCACAACAUUGUGAUCUAACUGACAAACGUCAUGAAGUGAUGGCCACAGUAAUUUUAUCUCUUGUUUGUUUUCACCUAAUGUUUAUAGUUGUAUUAUUGGGCAUAUAACAUGUGAAAAUGUAACGAUUUGACACAACAGCACAAGGAUGUGUUUGACAAGAAAGCUAUAUUAGAGUAAGGACGCAACACUAGAAAAUAAUGUGAAUCCACAGGAAAAUAAUUAAUAUUACAAAGUCUAAAAACAUAUAUUUGCUUUCCUUCACUCUCUCAACUUAUUUAAAAUAAAUAAAAACAUACAAAGUAUGUUAUAACAAUGUAUUUUGGCAUUUGUAACAUAGCUAGAUGUAGUAUUAUAUUAUAAAAAAUAGUAAAAAAAAUGGAUGUGAGUUAUAUAACUGUUCCUUCUUUCUUUUUUUUUCCCAGUUUUUUGGUAAUAUUAUAUAUAAUCACUGGAUUUGGUCAGUAUAUAUCUAAAACAGAUUUUGAUAUGUUCACAUGUGCAUUGUUAGCCUUAAAUGAACCACUAAGAAAAUAACUAAAAAAUGUAGUGAAAACAUAUUUGAAGGAUUUAAAACUUUAUUGUGAAAAUAUUUACUCAAUAAAAAAUAAAAAAGGAAGAACAGAUGACUAUAAGAUGAAAUAUAUAGAAAACCAAAGUAUAAUGGCAAAUAUAAGUCCAACUAUAUCAGUGAUGACUUAGAGGUGAACUCAGUAAUCAAAUCCAAAGACAUGUAUUUUCAGAUUGGUAAGAAAAUCCACUUGUGUACUGUCUACAGGAAAUACAAUUUGGAUUCAAAGCAAAUAUUGAAAGUGAAAGGAUGGAAAAAGUUAUAUUGUCGUUUUAAUAAAUGGAAUGGCUAUACUAUUAUCAGACAACAUGAGCUUUAAAACUAAGCUAUUUUAGUUUAGAGGUAAAGAGGGAUUUUUUAAAAAUAAUUUUAAAAUGUUAAUCUAUCCAAAAUAUAUAACAACCUAAUAACUGAGGUUCAAAAUUCAUGAAGCAAAAAUCGACAGGACUGGAAGGAAAAAUACAUGAUUCAAAAGAUUUCAGCUUCUCUUCAGAAACUAUCUUCAGUAAUUCAGAGAACAUCUGGAAGAUCAAUAAGGAAGGAGAAACCUUAAAAACACUAUAAACCACCUAAACUUAAUAAACACCUAUAGAAUAUUCCACCCUAAACAACAGCAGGACACUCAUUUUUUCAAAUGCCCUUGGGACAUUCUCCACAAUAGACAAUAUGUAAGCUAUAGAACCAGUUUUAACAAAUUGAAAGACACUGAAAUCAAAAUAUGUUGUUAAAUCACAGUAGAAUGAAAUUAAAAAUUGGUGUCAGAAGGAAAACAGAAAAAUGCACAAAUAUGUGGAGAUUAAACAAGACCCUCCUGAAUAACCAAUUGGCCAAAGAAUAAAUCACAGUGAAAGUACUUUGAAAUGAAUGAAAAUGAACACACAAUAUAUUGAAGCAUGCAGCUAAAGCAGUUUAGACAAAUUUAUAGAUUAAAAUCCUAUAUUAAAAAUAGUUCUAGGAGUUCCUGUUGUGGUUCAGUGGUUAACAAACCCGACGACUAAUAACCAUGAGGUUGGGGGUUCAAUCCCUGGCCUCGCUCAGUGGGUUCAGGAUCCACCUUUGCUGUGAGCUGUGAUGUAGGUUGCAGACAUGGAUCGGAUCCUGAGUUGGUGUGGCUGUGGCAUAAGCCGGCGGCAACAGCUCCCAUUAGAUCCCUAGCCUGCAAACCUCCAUUAUGCCACGGGUGCAGCCCUAAAAACACACACACAAAAAAGUUCUAAAACAAGUAACCUAGUCUAUCCUAUUUAAAAAAACAAAAACAAAAACAAACAAAGAAAAACAAACAAAAAAAGGAAAAACAAACAAACACAAAGUAA
Molecule: long non-coding RNA, 4577 nt
Filed under: Sus scrofa (pig)
Lineage: Eukaryota; Metazoa; Chordata; Mammalia; Artiodactyla; Suidae
Description: lncRNA (ENSSSCG00025063259.1)
Source: RNAcentral